Molecule: ribosomal RNA, 328 nt
Filed under: uncultured eukaryote
Lineage: Eukaryota
Description: partial 18S ribosomal RNA
Rfam family: Eukaryotic small subunit ribosomal RNA
Source: RNAcentral
CCCUUAGAUGUCCUGGGCCGCACGCGCGUUACACUGAUGCAUUCAACGAGCUUAUAACCUUGGCCGAGAGGCCUGGGCAGUCUUGUUAACGUGCAUCGUGAUAGGGAUAGAUUAUUGAAAUUAUUAAUCUUGAACGAGGAAUUCCUAGUAAACGCAGAUCAUCAAUCUGCAUUGAUUACGUCCCUGCCCUUUGUACACACCGCCCGUCGCACCUACCGAUUGGAUGGUCCGGUGAAGCCUCGGGAUUGUGGUUCUUGCCGCUUUAUUGUGGCGUGACCGCGAGAACUUGUCUAAACCUUAUCAUCUAGAGGAAGGUGAAGUCGUAACA